This is a long non-coding RNA of Cervus elaphus (red deer), 351 nucleotides long. RefSeq lists it as uncharacterized. The record is from RefSeq and is a predicted model, not a curated record. The transcript is spliced from 3 exons. NCBI's taxonomy places the organism in Eukaryota, Metazoa, Chordata, Mammalia, Artiodactyla, Cervidae.
CGACUGUCCCUUGCAUGCGAUGGACCGGAGGUGCGAUGCAGGUCCAACCCCUUCUCACGGACUUGCCUGGCCAAGCAGAAGGCUCGGGAAUUCAUGUUAAAUCAGCCUGGGAAUCCACCUCUUCGCCCAAGGAAAAGUUUGGAGGUGCUGAGCUGACCCUGUACUUCCGGGAUGGAUUUGUCUGAAGCACAAGAGCUGUCUCAAGAACAGGCAAAGCUCUGCUCAACAGAGAAGAGAGAAACCCGUCUCCCUGACACAGUGGUUGCCAGGAUUUCUGGUCAGGCUGGACGCCAUGUGAAGAGCAAAGGGAAGGAUGCCUGGCUGGGGUUGGAAGAAAGAAAAUACGUCUCA